This 308-nucleotide ribosomal RNA is filed under the name uncultured bacterium. Its description in RNAcentral is "bacterial SSU rRNA". It matches the Rfam family "Bacterial small subunit ribosomal RNA", at positions 29 to 327 of the family's 1533-position model. The record is from RNAcentral.
AAUGAACGCUGGCGGCGCGCCUAAUACAUGCAAGUCGAGCGGGAAGACGUAGCAAUACGUUUGUAAAGCGGCGAACGGGUGAGGAAUACAUGGGUAACCUACCCUAGAGUGGGGAAUAACUAGCCGAAAGGUUAGCUAAUACCGCGUACGCUCCUUGGACUUCGGUUCAGGGAGGAAAGCGAUGCCGAGGGUAUCGCGCUCUUGGAUGGGCUCAUGUCCUAUCAGCUUGUUGGUGAGGUAACGGCUCACCAAGGCUUCGACGGGUAGCUGGUCUGAGAGGACGAUCAGCCACACUGGCACUGCGACAC